Molecule: ribosomal RNA, 1121 nt
Filed under: Nosema bombycis
Lineage: Eukaryota; Fungi; Microsporidia; Nosematidae
Description: SSU rRNA
Rfam family: Microsporidia small subunit ribosomal RNA
Source: RNAcentral
CACCAGGUUGAUUCUGCCUGACGUAGACGCUAUACUCUAAGAUUAACCCAUGCAUGUUUAUUGAAUAUAAAGAAAAGACGAACAGCUCAGUAACUCUUAUUUGAUUUGAUGUAUUAGGAUUCUAACUAUGUUAAAUUAUAGGUAACAAUAAUACAAUAAGAAUAAGAUCUAUCAGUUAGUUGUUAAGGUAAUGGCUUAACAAGACUAUGACGGAUAACGGUAUUACUUUGUAAUAUUCCGGAGAAGGAGCCUGAGAGAUUGCUACUAAGUCUAAGGAUUGCAGCAGGGGCGAAACUUGACCUAUGAUAUUAUAUUGAGGCAGUUAUGAGUAGUAUUUUAUAAUUAUUGUAGUAUUGUAAGUACAUAUUACAAGAUAAAUCGGAGGGCAAAUCGAGUGCCAGCAGCCGCGGUAAUACUUGUUCCGAUAGUGUGUAUGAUGAUUGAUGCAGUUAAAAAGUCUGUAGUUUAUUUAUAAUAAGCAUUGUAAGGUAUACUGUAUGGUUAGGAGAGAGAUGAAAUGUGAUAACCCUAACUGGAUGAACAGAAGCGAAAGCUGUAUACUUAAAUGUAUUAUUAGAACAAGGACGUAAGCUAGAGGAUCGAAGAUGAUUAGAUACCAUUGUAGUUCUAGCAGUAAACUAUGUUGAAUCAUAGAUAUAUUUUGAUAUAUAUUUAUGUAGAGAAAUUAAGAUUAUAUUGACUCUGGGGAUAGUAUGAUCGCAAGAUUGAAAAUUAAAGAAAUUGACGGAAGAAUACCACAAGGAGUGGAUUGUGCGGCUUAAUUUGACUCAACGCGGGGUAAUUUACCAGGUAUAACAUGGUAUAAUAUUUUAUCAUGAUAGUGGUGCAUGGCCGUUUCCAAUGGAUGCUGUGAAGUAAUGAUUAAUUUCAACAAGAUGUGAGACCCUCAUUUAGACAGAUGUAGUGAUACAUAUGAAGGAGAGGAUUAAAACAGGUCCGUUAUGCCCUAAGAUAAUCUGGGUUGCACGCGCAAUACAAUAAUAUUUGAUAUUAUAAGGGAUAAUAUAAUGUAAGAUAUAUUUGAACAUGGAAUUGCUAGUAAAUUUUAUUUAAUAAGUAGAAUUGAAUGAGUCCCUGUUCUUUGUACACACCGCCCGUCG